Molecule: ribosomal RNA, 374 nt
Filed under: Escherichia coli
Lineage: Bacteria; Pseudomonadati; Pseudomonadota; Gammaproteobacteria; Enterobacterales; Enterobacteriaceae
Also listed under: 9 other names
Description: bacterial SSU rRNA
Rfam family: Bacterial small subunit ribosomal RNA
Source: RNAcentral
CUGCCAGUGAUAAACUGGAGGAAGGUGGGGAUGACGUCAAGUCAUCAUGGCCCUUACGACCAGGGCUACACACGUGCUACAAUGGCGCAUACAAAGAGAAGCGACCUCGCGAGAGCAAGCGGACCUCAUAAAGUGCGUCGUAGUCCGGAUUGGAGUCUGCAACUCGACUCCAUGAAGUCGGAAUCGCUAGUAAUCGUGGAUCAGAAUGCCACGGUGAAUACGUUCCCGGGCCUUGUACACACCGCCCGUCACACCAUGGGAGUGGGUUGCAAAAGAAGUAGGUAGCUUAACCUUCGGGAGGGCGCUUACCACUUUGUGAUUCAUGACUGGGGUGAAGUCGUAACAAGGUAACCGUAGGGGAACCUGCGGUUGGA